AUGACAACAGAACCCACAACAACCAUGACUUUUAUCACCAUCUUCAUCUGUACACUUGUUUUCUGCUUCCAAGAAUCUAGUGGACAGUACACUGUGACUCAGACUCCUGCUGUGAAAGCUGUUCUCCCAGGACAGUCAGUCUCUCUGAACUGUAAAACCAGCAGUAAUGUGCAUGGAUAUAACCACCUAGCCUGGUACCAACAGAAAGCUGGAGGAGCUCCUAAACUCCUUAUUUACUAUGCUACAACACUUCAGUCUGGGACUCCAUCUAGAUUCAGUGGCAGUGGAUCUGGGAGUGACUUCACUCUGACCAUCAGUGGAGUCCAGGCUGAAGAUGCAGGAGAUUACUACUGUCAGAGUUUCCACAAUCCCAACAGUGCCUGGGUUUUCACACAGUGAUACAGAGCCGUACAAAAACCUCCCUCAGUCAGACUGUACACUGACUGUACUGAUACAGCUGGGAUCUACUGCAGGUGCUGAGGAGGAAGAGACAGAGACAUAGAACACUGAUCAGUAGAUGAGGUCAACUGUGACAUGUGACAAUAUGGUUAGAAAGACAUUAUUCAGAUCACAUGAAAAUUAUUAACAUUAUCAUCAUGGUUAUAAUUUAUAUUAUCUUUUAUCAUGGUCUGAAAGUGUGUAUAAACGUUAUUUGAAGUUAUGAAACACAUUAUCUGUCCAUAUGUAAAGCAAGAUCUACAGGAGGUAAACAAAAGGUGUUAUGACCUCAACAUUAUUUCAAAGUUACAAUCACUUCAGCCCCCCAAAACAAGUCCUCAUAUGGACCUCAACCAAAUGUCUGAUUUAAAUGGAAGUGAUCUUCUAGCAUUAUAUUAACUGUUUUAUGAGCAGAUUACUUACUAUUCGAUCUGUGAAUGAGACAUGAUGCUCAGCCAUGAGACAACAAUAGACACUACAUACACCAUAUAUCAGGGUUAGGGUAAAUUCCAUUUACAUUCCAGUCAAUUCAGGAAGUAUACUGAAACUCCAAUUCCAUUUUUUUUUAUUUCAAUUGGAGUUUGGUUAACUUUUUGAGUUGACUGGAAUUUAAAUGGAAUUAACCCCAACCCUGCAAUCUACACUCCACUAUCUACACUACAUACACUAUCCUAAUAUAUAAAGUAUAAUAUCCAUUUUAUCUGUCAUUAAUUACAUGGUGGCAUAUCUGUUAUGUCUCCCUCAACGAAUCCACGAUAUAGAUGAAAAAUCGAUCCACUCCCUCACAUCUGGCCCAGUCCAGGGUAUUUCAGGCAAUGAAAUUGGUCAACUGCUAGACUGAUAGCUGUCGGAGUGAAAUUGAGAGUUUCAUAGACAAGGAUGGGUGGUUCUGCUUGUCCCAGAAUAGAGCAGCACUGUCACCAGACAUUCACCCUGUCCCCAGGGGCUUGGAGGUAAAGAAGACUCUACUCUAUACCCUGAAGUAGUGGCACAUGUAAUAUUAGUAAUUUUAAAUGUUUUAUUUAUCUUAAAAUCACAGACUAUAACACACGUGAGAGUCCAAGAUAUCGGUUGACUGUUUGAUAGUUAUUUUAUUACUGUAAAGUCUGCCUAGUCAAACAGGUCUGACACAGACUCAGUAUCCUGAUGAAUACAGACAGUCAUCAACUACUACCAUGGCAGAACCUCUUCUAUUAUAUCAAAGUAUAUUGUGAUAGUAGUAAUUUCUGGUCAAUGAUGAUGUUCAGUGAGAAUGUUUUCAAGGACACCAUUAAUCAGCCUUACUGAAUAUAUUUAUUUUGUGUUUGAAAACUUCCGACUUCAACUGUGUAUUUCACUGGUCCUCCCCAAAGCCAUCUCCUACUUUGGCUGCCUUUCCUUCCAGUUCCCUGCUGCCA
This is a non-coding RNA of Oncorhynchus keta (chum salmon), 1835 nucleotides long. Lineage: Eukaryota; Metazoa; Chordata; Actinopteri; Salmoniformes; Salmonidae. The record is from the annotation of a RefSeq genome assembly.